CCAUCUCCUGCCAACACACUUGAUCUGAUGGUUUGGAAGCUAGCCCUGGGUCCCGGUUCCCCAGCUGCUACUGCAGCAGAGAACUCACCUGCUGUGUGGUACAGAUCUUCAUGAGCCGGUACCAGGCAGCCCUGUUGGGUCUAGGCCUGCUCCUCAUGUUCCUACUGUACAUGGGGUUGCCUGGCCCACCCAAGCAGACUUCCCAGCUCGGGAGAGGUCCUAAUGUCACAGUCCUGACUGGUCUCACCAGAGGCAGCUCCCAAAUCUUUUACCGGGAGGUGCUGCCGCUCCAGCAGACACACAGGGCGGAAGUCGUGUUUCUCCAUGGGAAAGCAUUUAAUUCCCACACAUGGGAGCAGCUGGGCACACUGCAGCUCCUCUCAAAGAGGGGCUACCGGGCCGUGGCCGUCGACCUUCCAGGUUUUGGGAACUCAGGUGAAGCUGCACAAUGCAGGUCAUGCCUGCUACCUCCACAAGCCAGAAGCCUUCCACCUUGCCCUCCUUGCCUUUCUUGACCAUUUGCCUUGAAUGGACUCACUUCCCAGGACCCACCUCGAAGAGUCUAGACCUCCUCACUCUCCUCUUCCAGGGUGACAGUCCCUGGCUGUGAUUGGGGGACAGGGGAUCAAACCUAACCAGGACUUUUGUAUUCCAUUUCACAGGCACAAUAAAGAAAAGCCUUUUUGUCUUGC
Molecule: long non-coding RNA, 692 nt
Filed under: Rattus norvegicus (Norway rat)
Lineage: Eukaryota; Metazoa; Chordata; Mammalia; Rodentia; Muridae
Description: long non-coding RNA NONRATT028944
Source: RNAcentral